GUGUGUGGCCCUUUGGUCUCUCUGAUAUACUCUGCACUUUGUCUGCAAAGCAUACAGUGAGACAGAGACAGUGUUUCUCGGUAGGUGUAUUGGUCUUUAUCAUAGGGCAGGUGCUACUGAGACUGUACCAAAGACAGUGAUAGACAGACGAGAGAAACAGUCAACAGAUGCAACAUACAGGCCACAGGAUGGUCCUAAGUUGACCCAAGAGGAAAACAAAGCAGUGGACAUCGCAUUGCAAAGUUUGCAGUGAGAUUCUGUAGUCAGGUGGUUCGCUCACUUCUAUGUGAAGUUACAGUGAAACCCAGUGGUCAGAUAAGUCACAUUUCUGGUUUUGCUUUCCACUGCAAGUACAUUUUAUUAUUCUUCCCACAUAGAAUAAAAUGUAUAAAUGCUCAUCUGAUUCGCUGAUGAAAAUUUUGUCAAGUCAGGUCUUAAGGAACCCCAAUGACUCGGCAUCACUAGGUAACCCAUUCCAUAUCCUCACCACUCUGUGUAAAGACUUGACUCUUUCCCUAUGUCUUAAGUUAGUCUCCAUUUCAUUUCCAACUGUGUCUACUAGUCAUGGUUCCUGAGCUGUGUGAGAAAUAGGCCUACACAAUAAUAAUAAUACAUUUAAUAUAUCAGAAAACAAAUAUGUAAAUUACAGAUGUUUAAAUAUAUAAGACUCCUCCACCUCUCAGCGAAGCUUACUUUGUCCAAUUAAUGAUGCAUUUCAAAUCCUCUUUCUUUGAGGUUAGAAUAAUUAUGGGGUUUUUUUAGGUAAAUUGGAGGCACCAGGAACUCUUCCUUCAUCCCCGAGUCUGGCCUUGCGCACCUCGAGUGUUUCCAUAGUGACAGCUCAGCCGUGGGAAGCCCCCGUCCCCGCCCCCCGUGGCCUGCGUCUCCGUCCACCCCGAGAAGCUCCGGUCAGCCAGGCCAGGGCACGAGCUUCAAAGGUCUGACCGAGACGCUGCUGGGGGACUUUGAGGAGCGAAGGAUCAAAAUGAAACAGGAGGAGGGAACGUAUGCUGGUAUUGAACCAAGUGAUGAGGUAAACAAUGAGGUGCUGCAAGCCACGCGUGUGACACGACACAAGAACAGCCGUGCCCUUCGCUGGGAGGCAGGCGUGUACACCAACGAAGCAGAGAAGUGACAUGAAGCACCCAGCGACCUGUAUUGAAACGUGUGCGAUUCACACUUCCUACCUGCAAAUGAUGUUGAUCUCUACAGUGCCCCCUACCUGCUGCUGGAAGAAACUGCUAUAACACUACUCUGAAAACAAGUGUUAAUGUAUUUUUAUGCUAUUGUUGUAAAGUAACGUUAACCUUACUGUCACUGGUCCCUCUUUUCUUUUGUUAUCCCUUGCUUGUAUUUUACGCUUCAACUUGCAAUAUUAGCAAUAUAGCUAAAGAGUUCCUGCUGCUGCUUCCUGGUACCUAAUCACUUCCUGUGUUGGAGUUCAUACUGCGGACAGUGUGACCUACAGCAAAAGGUACCAGGAUGCAGCAGUUCAUCUAUGCCGUUGAAAUAACAUGAAUGAAAAAGCGUAUUACAGAAUAAAAA
Polyodon spathula (Mississippi paddlefish) is the source of this 1545-nucleotide long non-coding RNA. RefSeq lists it as uncharacterized. The record is from RefSeq and is a predicted model, not a curated record. Lineage: Eukaryota; Metazoa; Chordata; Actinopteri; Acipenseriformes; Polyodontidae. The transcript has 5 exons.